ACAACAUUCGGAACGUCGGUCAACCGAGGAAUAUCACCCGCUCGGUGGAAAAUCUUCCUUUAAAAGA
This 67-nucleotide microRNA precursor is filed under the name Bombyx mori (domestic silkworm). RNAcentral's name for it is "mir-2774 microRNA precursor family". It matches the Rfam family "mir-2774 microRNA precursor family". Lineage: Eukaryota; Metazoa; Arthropoda; Insecta; Lepidoptera; Bombycidae. The record is from Rfam by way of RNAcentral.